This 3557-nucleotide long non-coding RNA is filed under the name Aquilegia coerulea. RNAcentral describes it as "long non-coding RNA (ACOE_LNC001967)". The record is from RNAcentral. Lineage: Eukaryota; Viridiplantae; Streptophyta; Magnoliopsida; Ranunculales; Ranunculaceae.
UGGGAACCAAAAUAACAGUCCAACACCAAUCCGAUUUUUCCAGUGUUUUUAUUUUUGUAGCCGUGGGUAAUAUAAUUCCUUCUUUCUUGUCGAUCUGAUUCUCUUCUUCAUCUUCAUCGGCGAUCUCUCGAUCUCAAUCUCAAGAGAUCGAGAAGAAAAACAUUGAACACUCGAUCUCUCAAUCUCCAAUCUCUUCUUAUCAUUCUCUUCUUCACCAUCGAUCUCUCAAUCUCCAAUCUCUUCUUCCUCAUCAACCUUCCACAUCGAUCACAAGAGAAAAAGUUAUCUUCAAAGUUCAAAUCUCAAGAGAGAGGCGAAGUUCUCUUCAGACGAAAUUGGAGUUUUUAGUUUUGCUUCGCACUUUCUCUCCUUAAGGUAUUUCGAAUUGAACGAUUGUUUAUGAUUUUCAAUUGAUUUCCAGCUUCAUUCUUCUCUCAAUUGUUUAUGAUUGUUUAUGACUUAGGGUUCUAAAUCAAAGGUUUUAUCAAUCUCUAUUGUUUAUGUAAAGUUUUGUUGAUUGAAUUUCACUGAUUGCAGUUUAUCGACUUAUAAAUGUGAUUGAGAUUGUUAGGUUUAAUGGUCAUUAUACAUAUGAUUUGAUAUGGUUAGGUUCAAUGAUCAACAAAUGUUCUUAAAACCUGGAUCCAAAUUCCAAAUACUGUGCAUUUGCCUCAUAAAUACCUUUUUUUCUAGUCACAAUUUUAUUCAAAACACAGUUGUUAAAUGCCUGGUGCGCUGUUUUUUGUCCCACGAUGGUCCUUGAUCUGCCUGGUGCGCUAUUUCAAUUGUACAUUUGUCUUCAUCAAAACUGCUAUAUAUCACCAUCAUCACAAGGAGAGUAGUAAUACUGCACAUGUCUGCCUUACUUAGCUGAUUGAUUGAGAUUAGUUUCUAGAUAUCAGUAUACUUAUGAAGUUUGAGAUGGUUCAAGGAAUGUAUGUGUAGACUAGUAUCUACAAGUGUCUGUUUCAUGAGUAAGAGAGUGAUCUUCUAGAACUAGGCCCUGAACCCAAUAUACAAUGACCUGCCUUUAUUAGUUUUCUUUUGAUUUGUAAUAGUCUUAUUCUUUCAUCUGAUGCAACAUUCAGAUUUAGAAUUCCAAGAAACCGCUUUGGAAAUAGAAGAUUUGGGCCCUGUUCGGUUGUAGAAAAAUGAGCUUGUUUUCCAAAAAAUGUUUUUCGUAGAUAACAAAAAACAGAGAACCUGUUCGCUUGUACUUCCUUUUCAGAUUUUAGAAAUGGGUUUUCAGUUUUCUAAAAAGUUUCCAUUUUCUGUUUUGGCUUAUAGACGGAAAACUCUAAAACGACAUUUUCUAAAUUAUAGAAAACACGAGUUAAGGUUAAGUCCUCCAUCAAAAUAUAUAUCUCUCGUCGCUCUCCGAAGGUUCUCUACUAUGUUUGAAAGCCAUCAUAUGACCAAAAAUCACGCAUUGAAGUUAUACACCUGAUGUUUCUAAUUAAAUCUUGUUCUUUCAAAUGCUGAAAUAAUAAGUCACCCAUUUGAUUUUGCAAUCUUUAGCAAUGAAAUAAAUAAUUCUUAUGUAGAAUCUAGCCUAUUGACGACAAACUAGAAAUUUUUUAAAUUAAAUUGCUUGUUAUAUUUUUGUCUGAUAUGAUUAUUUAUGUCAUUUAUAUGCAUGUAUGACUAUUUCUUAUUGUUUUUGUGAAAUUCAUCGUUUUAUUGGUAGAGAAUUUUGUUUGUUUGAAUAUUGGUCUUACGUGGUAAAAGCUACAAAUUUACCUCAUAUUAAAGUUUACACUAUUUAUAUGUAUGUAGAUUCAUCAUGGAGAGGCUUAAUUCUAUUGACAAAAGUUGGAUACCAUUAGAUGUCAAUGACUCGCAUUUUAUUGGAGGUCUUGAAUUGUUUAUUGACUUUGCCGUAAAACAUUGUCGGGGUUGUAUAUGCAGCUCUCAAUCUGAUUUAGAAGCUACUCUCUUUAAGGUACCUAUUUUCUCUCUUCUGUUAUAGUUAUGUUAAGAAAGAUAUGAAGUUAUCUAUGCAUGUUGUAUUGGUUGAAGACUACUUUCCAAGAAGCCUCGUGCCAUUAAGGAAGUAUAUUGUUUCCUUUCUUUGUCAUUCAAAUGCAUGAUUUAUAGUCAUUCUGUUAUUAGUUUCUUGAUGAUUGUGAAGUGAUUGUUUUAAAAGAUCUUCUCCAUUAAAUUUUACUUGUCAGAGUAUCAAAUAGUUACAUUUAUAGAGCAAUAAACACAAUUCAUACUUUAUAGGUACCUUAAUAAUUGUAGGAACUUUAGCAAUAAACUCAAUCCAUACUUUAUAGGUACCUUGAUAAUUGUAGGAACUUUAGCAAUAAACGCAAUCCAUACUUAAUAUAGAGCUCUUGUUACUGGAAAUUCCAUUGUUUUGCACGGAGAUUUGCAUAAGUACUUAAGAUAUGAGGUAGAUAGGAGCUGAGGACAACACUUUGCUCCCAACUGGUAUAGAGCGAAGGUUUUUCGUUUUACUAUACAAUACUAUCACUAUUCCUUGUAAUUUAGGUUUGACGAGGUUUUUCUUGGUUUGAGGGUCACAUACACGUUGCAUAAUGUGUGUUUAUAGAGGAAAAGGUAGGCCAUCUUCUACAUAAGCUGUUUUGAAUAAAGAGUCGUUGUUUGGUAGUUAGGUGUGCUGCUAAUUCUAUGGUCCAUAUGUGUUGUCAAUCUAGGAAACUGGUCUAUAUAAUUUUGUACUUCCUUUAAAAAAACUCCACAUGUAAGUAUGCGUGAUAGUUUUGAUGGUUCCAAUCCAUGUCUAUUUGAUUUCACAAAGUACUUUUAUUUGUUCUUAAUAUUGAGAGGGCGAUCAAAACAAAGUUGGAGGGUGAAAUUUAGAGUUUCAUUCUUUGCAGUUCUCCUCUUGUUUACACUUCACCUAGCUAAUAAUAUUAUCACACCCCCCUAUUUGAUAAGUUACCUAAUAAUUUGGAUGAAGAUAUUUGUGGCUGCUUCUUGUCCUGGUCUCGUCACUUUAUUUCUCACGCAAAACGUAUAUGUAGUUGCUUGACUUUCAUUAAUCAUUAUUAGUAAGAAUUAAUUCUUUUGAGUUUUGCACUCUAUUCUUACUCUGUUGUAUAAUGGCAGUACAGAACCUUCCAUUCAUUGAGAACAUGGAGAAAAGGAUUCAGAGUGCAAGCUCAAUGUUUUUACCUACUGCUUAAUACAGAACUGGGAGACGUUGGUGGUUGACGCGUGGUAGGGGUGACUGCUCUCUGUUCACUAGAACAUGCCAAUAUUGCUGCAGACCAAAAGAAAGGAGGCAGGACAUAAUUGUUCACUAAAAACAGGCCAAUAUUGCUGCAGACCAAAGGAAGGGAUUUGUAGGAUAGCUUUUGAUGGUUGCGAACUGUCACAAGAACGUAAUUGUUUUGCACUCCAUUUUAUUUCAUUGGUGUAAUUGUUUAAAGUUGAUGAUAUACAUGUUGUUGUUGUAACCAUUUAUUUUGGAAUUUUGUCUUAAAUGUUUGAGAAGAUAAAGUAAAAUGUUUUCUCUUUUGGAAUUGCAUCAGGCACUGGCAGUACUGAAAUAUUGAAAAUGUGAAUGUAGGAAUUUUUUUUUUUUU